GUAAUACGUAGGGCGCAAGCGUUUUCCGGAAUUAUUGGGCGUAAAGAGCUCGUAGGCGGUUUGUCGCGUCUGCUGUGAAAGACCGGGGCUCAACUCCGGUUCUGCAGUGGGUACGGGCAGACUAGAGUGAUGUAGGGGAGACUGGAAUUCCUGGUGUAGCGGUGAAAUGCGCAGAUAUCAGGAGGAACACCGAUGGCGAAGGCAGGUCUCUGGGCAUUAACUGACGCUGAGGAGCGAAAGCAUGGGGAGCGAACAGGAUUAGAUACCCUGGUAGUCCAUGCCGUAAACGUUGGGCACUAGGUGUGGGGGACAUUCCACGUUUUCCGCGCCGUAGCUAACGCAUUAAGUGCCCCGCCUGGGGAGUACGGCCGCAAGGCUAAAACUCAAAGGAAUUGACGGGGGCCCGCACAAGCGGCGGAGCAUGCGGAUUAAUUCGAUGCAACGCGAAGAACCUUACCAAGGCUUGACAUGGACCGGACCGGGCUGGAAACAGUCUUUCCCUUCGGGGCUGGUUUACAGGUGGUGCAUGGUUGUCGUCAGCUCGUGUCGUGAGAUGUUGGGUUAAGUCCCGCAACGAGCGCAACCCUCGUUCCAUGUUGCCAGCACGUGAUGGUGGGGACUCAUGGGAGACUGCCGGGGUCAACUCGGAGGAAGGUGGGGACGACGUCAAAUCAUCAUGCCCCUUAUGUCUUGGGCUUCACGCAUGCUACAAUGGCCGGUACAAUGGGUUGCGAUACUGUGAGGUGGAGCUAAUCCCAAAAAGCCGGUCUCAGUUCGGAUUGGGGUCUGCAACUCGACCCCAUGAAGUCGGAGUCGCUAGUAAUCGCAGAUCAGCAACGCUGCGGUGAAUACGUUCCCGGGCCUUGUACACACCGCCCGUCAAGUCACGAAAGUUGGUAACACCCGAAGCCGGUGGCCUAACCCCUUUGU
Molecule: ribosomal RNA, 930 nt
Filed under: Arthrobacter sp. 10F2
Lineage: Bacteria; Bacillati; Actinomycetota; Actinomycetes; Micrococcales; Micrococcaceae
Description: bacterial SSU rRNA
Rfam family: Bacterial small subunit ribosomal RNA
Source: RNAcentral